This is a long non-coding RNA of Clupea harengus (Atlantic herring), 1673 nucleotides long. RefSeq lists it as uncharacterized. NCBI's taxonomy places the organism in Eukaryota, Metazoa, Chordata, Actinopteri, Clupeiformes, Clupeidae. The record is from RefSeq and is a predicted model, not a curated record. The transcript is spliced from 2 exons.
CACACACCUGCACAUGCACUAAUGCCCAAAUACACACAAAGCAUCACUGCUGUGCAGGCAAUACCCAUAAUCCUAUGGCGGACAUGGACAUAUGCAAUUACGUUUUUAAGAGACAUUUGCAUAGUGUAUGGAACAUUUGAGCUGAAAAAUGAAGACCCCUUUCAGAGAUUGUAUAUGGGAAGCGCACUUGAAACAAAGCAAGGCAUACGCUAUCAAACCGCAUACUUGCACGUCAAAGGUUGGGAAUAAUGGAAAUACAGAUUUUUUUUUUUUUCUCUCUUCAUGUCGUUCCAAAUGUAUUGUUUGUUAGAUUUAUUUAAUCUGGGGGAUUUUGAUCCCAAAGUUCGUACAAGCCUUAAAACAUUUUUCUAGACUAAACCUUAAUGAGUGAAGUUCAGCACAAACUGUGAUUCCAUUAUGGCUACUAGGCCCAGAGCAGCUCAUACCGGGCCAACAGGACCACCCUUUCCACACUCCAUUUAACUACAUUAAAUAUAUAUUUUGGGCCAAAUCUCUGGUUUAAGGCUUGAGUCCAAGGGUCUCUUUACAUGGGUUAGGAAACUACACAUCUUACCUGAAAAAGGAAAUCCCAAAUGUUUGUCGAAGCCUUCCACAGAGGCUACUCAACAAAUUUUGCACUUUACUGUGUUAAAAUGAAGAAUGCUAUGUUGCAGUAAAUAAUAUCAUUGUGUUUUAAAGUAAUAUUUCCCAUGUGUGGCUUUAAUUGCAAAACAGACAAUCAUAUAUGAUUACACUUUGUUUGAUUGUGCUCUUGCGCAGAAGACAAGUGGUCUUUUUUCAGUUGCUAUUUGAUUUUGAUGAGAGGAUGAAUAUGAAUGAAGUGUAUGUACAAUUUAUAGGGCGAAACAUUAUCCUUAAAUAAUGGAAGGGUUUUCACUCUAUACAAGAUUUCUUUGUAAAAGUGCUUUCCGAGAUUUUCGCCUAACCCCAGUGUUUGUCAAAUAUUUCCUAAUGCCUAGAUUAUUUCAAAUUAUUGGUUAUGAUUUAUGUGUACAGCUGGUGAAUUGAUUUGGUAAAAAUGUUGAUCGUGUUUUCUUUUCUAAAAUGAGAUCAUGCCUGAUUAUGAUUUAAAAGCUACCUUUAUAAUUUAUUUAUUUUAUUUAUUUAGAAGUGAAACUGAACACUCCUGUUGUAGGAGGGCACAGAGCAGGCGCUGUGGGGUGUCAAUGUAAGCCUUACUCAUUUGACCUUGCAUUGCCAUUUACUUGAUGUGCUCAGAUGAUGUCAAUAUUUAUAUAUAUAUAGGGACUGUAUCUGUCAACCUCUGGCUCUCAGUCUUCUGUGCCAGGUGGCAAUAAUAAGUCUUGGAUUUCAGAUAAAAAUGCUACUUUGAGAACUCCAGUGCAGAUGGUAUAUAGCGCACUAAAAAUGCCUGUACAAGUCAUUUGUGUUUUUUAUCAAACAAUAAACACAUUGUGAUUAUAGAUAAAAGAAAAUGAUGCUGUGUCUGCCAAGAGAGCUAUUUUGAAAAGUGAUCUUACCAACCCAUCUAAGUUAGUGUAGUACUCAUAUGGUGUUCAUGAAGGUGAUCUGACCAACCCAUAUAAGUUAGUGUCGUACUCAUAUGGUGUUGAUGAAGGUGGAUAGUAAAUCCAUUAUGAAGGUACUAAUCUCAUCCAUGUAAAGCUUGUCAAAUAAACCCCUCUUAUUCA